CUCGCCUGCACUCUGGGAUAAGCCUGGGAAACUGGGUCUAAUACUGGAUAUGACCUUUCUCCUUAUGGGGUUUGGUGGAAAGUUUUUCGGUGUAGGAUGAGCCCGCGGCCUAUCAGCUUGUUGGUGGGGUGAUGGCCUACCAAGGCGACGACGGGUAGCCGGCCUGAGAGGGUGAUCGGCCACAUUGGGACUGAGAUACGGCCCAG
Molecule: ribosomal RNA, 206 nt
Filed under: uncultured Actinomycetales bacterium
Lineage: Bacteria; Bacillati; Actinomycetota; Actinomycetes; Actinomycetales
Description: partial 16S ribosomal RNA
Rfam family: Bacterial small subunit ribosomal RNA
Source: RNAcentral